RNAcentral lists this small RNA (221 nucleotides) under Mycobacterium haemophilum. RNAcentral describes it as "c-di-AMP sequence". It matches the Rfam family "c-di-AMP riboswitch aptamer (ydaO/yuaA leader)". From Rfam's summary of the family: This family represents a conserved RNA structure found upstream of the ydaO and yuaA genes in Bacillus subtilis and related genes in other bacteria. The ydaO/yuaA element is thought to act as a genetic "off" switch for the ydaO and yuaA genes in its native state. Lineage: Bacteria; Bacillati; Actinomycetota; Actinomycetes; Mycobacteriales; Mycobacteriaceae. The record is from Rfam by way of RNAcentral.
CUCCCUAUAGCGCCGAGCUCCAUCCAGUAGGCGGGGGACACCAACCGUGGAUGGAGGCGGGGGACCCACCAGUCCGCCGAGAUCGGACCGGGGCCGCAUGCGGCCCUUGGGGUGAAGCCGACGUCAUCUCCCUGAUCAAUACGACGCCGGCCGGGUGCCUCUCUAACGCAAUCCAGCCCGAACCCGACAGCUGACUUCGCAGGCGCGUACCGAGAGGAAAU